UACGUAGGGGGCGAGCGUUGUCCGGAUUUAUUGGGCGUAAAGAGCUCGUAGGCGGUUUGGUAAGUUGGAUGUGAAAUCUCCAGGCUCAACUUGGAGGGGUCAUUCGAUACUGCCAUGACUAGAGUUCGGUAGGGGAGUGUGGAAUUCCUGGUGGAGCGGUGAAAUGCGCAGAUAUCAGGAGGAACACCCGUAGCGAAGGCGGCACUCUGGGCCGGAACUGACGCUGAGGAGCGAAAGCCAGGGGAGCAAACGGG
Molecule: ribosomal RNA, 254 nt
Filed under: uncultured bacterium
Lineage: Bacteria
Description: partial 16S ribosomal RNA
Rfam family: Bacterial small subunit ribosomal RNA
Source: RNAcentral